Molecule: long non-coding RNA, 208 nt
Filed under: Lathyrus oleraceus (garden pea)
Lineage: Eukaryota; Viridiplantae; Streptophyta; Magnoliopsida; Fabales; Fabaceae
Description: Pisum sativum (pea) long non-coding RNA (PSAT_LNC012730)
Source: RNAcentral
CCUUCAAGCAGCUUUCAACAUUAAAACAUCAUGUCACCAAUCAUCAACAAAAUAAGGAUGCAAACACAUACCUCUAAGAUCUUCCAUGGUUCUCUUUCUUUCCUACCUUUCAUUCGACCUGAUCAUCAUGAUAGAAUGGUCUGUCACACCAACACUUGAGAAUAUUGUUUCUCUUGUCAUCCCUAUUCAAACUCUCACCAUUUCUCUC